This is a non-coding RNA of Chiloscyllium plagiosum (whitespotted bambooshark), 488 nucleotides long. The record is from RefSeq and is a predicted model, not a curated record. NCBI's taxonomy places the organism in Eukaryota, Metazoa, Chordata, Chondrichthyes, Orectolobiformes, Hemiscylliidae.
AUCAAGCUAUUAACAACAUCCUUUGUUGCUUCCAGCCUCAUUUUCACUCUCCUGUUUUCUUUGUUUCUAGAUGGAAGUUCUGCAAGAAUCACGGAUGAUGAUUCCAGAUUGUCAGCGUCGAUUGGAAACGGCCCACAGUGACCUGGCACAACUAUUGGAAAGCGAGAAAGAAUUGGAAGACACUGAGGAAUACAAGGAAGCCCAGGCCACAAUAGGAUCAAUCAAACUAGAAGCCUAGACCCUAUUUCUUAAUUAUGAUGUUUUGUUUUGUUAUAAGUAUUUGCACUGUCCAUUCCAUUCACCCCACUCCAUCCCCCAAAUUUCAGUUUUAGGCAUUAUGACCCUGUUAUUAUUAUGCUUGGGAUUGAUGGAUGAACCCUGUGUAAUCUGAGUUCUCUUACAUUGCACAACAGAUUGUGUACCCAAACAAAUUUUGUGCUACAUCAUGAUGAAAUAAUGAAACUUUAAAUAAAAGUACAUGCUGACAA